CCUUGCCGAAUCAUUCCAUACUCCACCUAAUCAAUCUCACUGUUUCGCAUAACCGUGACUGUCUGACUGUCCCCUUCUCUUUCUCCCGUCAAUGCAUUCCUCUCCUCCCAUCAGUGGUGGUCUUUGCCCUUCUGAAUUCUUGAUUCGUUCUGACCCUAUACUCUAGUUCGCAAUUUGUUGUCGCUUUCUGUCAAUUUCUCGCAUGCAAGUAAGGAGAUAAUCUAGCAUCGGAGAGCUAUCUCGUCGGAGGGGCAAAAAGCUUCGAGAUGUAAGGAAUGGGCCAUCAGAGGUGGCCGCUAGAGGUGAUUGCGUCCUCGUCGUCCAUGGCGGCACAGUCGGUAGGCCGGGGCAGGGCCAUCCCGCUGUCCGAGCUGACCGAUUGCUUCAGGUCGUUGGGAAGCGAGGCGCGACCGUUGAUAGCAAAGUAGCCCAUCCACAUCGAGGCCACAGUAACCACGACAUUUGGGCGGCGGUCUGAUGGGAAUGUCCGCGCCGGAAGGAGGGCCAGGCUCUCAGUGAUGUAGGCGCUGGCCAGGCUCAAACCCAUGGCACUGUCAUCCUUCGAGCAACCGCAGAACUUGUGGCGGCCUGUAAUGAGGGGCCGAAUGUGAACUGUGGAGGAGAAAAGAAUAAUUUUCAUUCCGGUCAAAUUCUCAGACAGGAUCAGCAGGUGGUCGCAGUUGACAGAGAGCCACAUAGAGUGAAUGGAGCUAAUGAGCUAGCAGCUGGUAUGUUCCUCUUCCUUGAAUCACUAAAACUAAACUUCCUUUACAGGUAUCAGAUAAGGUAAUCAAUCAUCCCUCCAUCCUUUCCACUAAGCUAGAGCCCUUGAAUUGCUGAAAUUGGCCUUCAUUUGCAUGCACCAGUUAACUGCAUCAAUCAGCCUAGGAUUCUUUUUGUUGAGCUGGAGGAAACAACUAUACUUUCCUAUAAUUUACUUUCCAGUUGUCUAGUAUACUCAGUUCUGCUCUCCCUGUAGAAUAUGUUAUACAACUAAAAAGGCAAAUCAGAAGACCAAAUACACAGAGACCAUGACUGUGCACUAAAUGGACUGAUUAUAAAGAUCAAAUGCGGUAAAAAAUAGAUGAAAUAGUUUGGCAAGUAGCAUCGCUUGGAAGGUUCUUGCAUACAUGAGAGAAAGAGACACUUAACAAUAAAACAUCUUUUUUCACCAGGUUGUCGGAUAAACAAAGCAUAGCCAAUGGCAGGCUUACUCGAAAACAUGACAUACAUCUGGUGACAUAAUCUUAAAGAAGAUAACAAAUAUGAUACUGAGAUA
This is a non-coding RNA of Lolium perenne, 1279 nucleotides long. Lineage: Eukaryota; Viridiplantae; Streptophyta; Magnoliopsida; Poales; Poaceae. The record is from RefSeq and is a predicted model, not a curated record.